Molecule: non-coding RNA, 295 nt
Organism: Dermacentor albipictus
Lineage: Eukaryota; Metazoa; Arthropoda; Arachnida; Ixodida; Ixodidae
Source: RefSeq, a predicted model, not a curated record
AGGCUGCCGCAAUUGCGACUGAGACCAACGAGAGAGCGCCGUCCACGCCCUGGGACCCUUCAAAACUUCCUUACAAACUCACAACGAUGCAGAGGCUCAUAUUGAAGGUGGUUAUACCGAAAGCUAGAGGAGCAGUUGCAGCACGAGAGACCGCGAAGUCUGCUGUGCUGCGCACCAUCCACCAGCUGCGCCUUGUGUGCCAGCAGCUGGGCCAGCGCAUGGUGCGCGAGGGACGGCUGCCCAGCGCCGACCUGCUUUUCUUCCUCACCUUCGAGGAGAUUGGCCUGCUGCUCAA